UGCUGACGACCGGCGCACGGGUGAGUAACGCGUAUGCAACCUGCCCCUGACAGGAGGAUAGCCCUAGGAAACUGGGAUUAAUACUCCAUGUAUUAUCAAAUAGGCAUCUAUUACAUAAUAAAGCUACGGCGGUCAGGGAUGGGCAUGCGUGCCAUUAGUUAGUUGGUGAGGUAACGGCUCACCAAGGCAUCGAUGGCUAGGGGUUCUGAGAGGAUGAUCCCCCACACUGGUACUGAGACACGGACCAGACUCCUACGGGAGGCAGCAGUGAGGAAUAUUGGUCAAUGGGCGCAAGCCUGAACCAGCCAUGCCGCGUGCAGGAUGACUGUUCUAUGAAUUGUAAACUGCUUUUCUGCGGGAAGAAAUGUACCUACGUGUAGGUAUUUGCCGGUACUGCAGGAAUAAGCAUCGGCUAACUCCGUGCCAGCAGCCGCGGUAAUACGGAGGAUGCAAGCGUUAUCCGGAUUCAUUGGGUUUAAAGGGUGCGCAGGCGGUGUAUUAAGUCAGUGGUGAAAUGCUGCGGCUCAACCGUAGACUUGCCAUUGAUACUGGUACACUUGAAUGUAGUUGAGGUAGGCGGAAUGUGUAAUGUAGCGGUGAAAUGCUUAGAUAUUACACAGAACACCGAUUGCGAAGGCAGCUUACUAAACUAUGAUUGACGCUGAGGCACGAAAGCGUGGGGAGCGAACAGGAUUAGAUACCCUGGUAGUCCACGCUGUAAACUAUGAUCACUGGUUGUUGGCAAUAUACCGUCAGCGACUGAGCGAAAGCAUUAAGUGAUCCACCUGGGGAGUACGUCGGCAACGAUGAAACUCAAAGGAAUUGACUGGGGCCCGCACAAGCGGAGGAACAUGUGGUUUAAUUCGAUGAUACGCGAGGAACCUUACCUGGGCUUAAAUGUAGAGUGCAUAGAGUGGAAACAUUCUUUUCCUUCGGGACUCUUUACAAGGUGCUGCAUGGUUGUCGUCAGCUCGUGCCGUGAGGUGUCGGGUUAAGUCCCAUAACGAGCGCAACCCUUGUCGUUAGUUGCUAGCAGGUCAAGCUGAGGACUCUAACGAGACUGCCGGUGUAAACCGAGAGGAAGGUGGGGAUGACGUCAAAUCAGCACGGCCCUUAUGUCCAGGGCUACACACGUGUUACAAUGGCCAGUACAAGGAGCAGCCACC
RNAcentral lists this ribosomal RNA (1166 nucleotides) under uncultured organism. RNAcentral's name for it is "bacterial SSU rRNA". It matches the Rfam family "Bacterial small subunit ribosomal RNA", at positions 86 to 1254 of the family's 1533-position model. The record is from RNAcentral.